Molecule: ribosomal RNA, 270 nt
Filed under: uncultured archaeon
Lineage: Archaea
Description: partial 16S ribosomal RNA
Rfam family: Archaeal small subunit ribosomal RNA
Source: RNAcentral
CAGCACCUCAAGUGGUCAGGAUGAUUAUUGGGCCUAAAGCAUCCGUAGCCGGCUCUGUAAGUUUUCGGUUAAAUCUGUACGCUCAGCGUACAGGCUGCCGGGAAUACUGCAGAGCUAGGGAGUGGGAGAGGUAGACGGUACUCGGUAGGAAGGGGUAAAAUCCUUUGAUCUAUUGAUGACCACCUGUGGCGAAGGCGGUCUACCAGAACACGUCCGACGGUGAGGGAUGAAAGCUGGGGGAGCAAACCGGAUUAGAUACCCGAGUAGUCC